AGAGUUUGAUCAUGGCUCAGAUUGAACGCUGGCGGCAGGCCUAACACAUGCAAGUCGAACGGUAACAGGAAGCAGCUUGCUGCUUUGCUGACGAGUGGCGGACGGGUGAGUAAUGUCUGGGAAACUGCCUGAUGGAGGGGGAUAACUACUGGAAACGGUAGCUAAUACCGCAUAACGUCGCAAGACCAAAGAGGGGGACCUUCGGGCCUCUUGCCAUCGGAUGUGCCCAGAUGGGAUUAGCUAGUAGGUGGGGUAACGGCUCACCUAGGCGACGAUCCCUAGCUGGUCUGAGAGGAUGACCAGCCACACUGGAACUGAGACACGGUCCAGACUCCUACGGGAGGCAGCAGUGGGGAAUAUUGCACAAUGGGCGCAAGCCUGAUGCAGCCAUGCCGCGUGUAUGAAGAAGGCCUUCGGGUUGUAAAGUACUUUCAGCGGGGAGGAAGGGAGUAAAGUUAAUACCUUUGCUCAUUGACGUUACCCGCAGAAGAAGCACCGGCUAACUCCGUGCCAGCAGCCGCGGUAAUACGGAGGGUGCAAGCGUUAAUCGGAAUUACUGGGCGUAAAGCGCACGCAGGCGGUUUGUUAAGUCAGAUGUGAAAUCCCCGGGCUCAACCUGGGAACUGCAUCUGAUACUGGCAAGCUUGAGUCUCGUAGAGGGGGGUAGAAUUCCAGGUGUAGCGGUGAAAUGCGUAGAGAUCUGGAGGAAUACCGGUGGCGAAGGCGGCCCCCUGGACGAAGACUGACGCUCAGGUGCGAAAGCGUGGGGAGCAAACAGGAUUAAGAUACCCUGGUAGUCCACGCCGUAAACGAUGUCGACUUGGAGGUUGUGCCCUUGAGGCGUGGCUUCCGGAGCUAACGCGUUAAGUCGACCGCCUGGGGAGUACGGCCGCAAGGUUAAAACUCAAAUGAAUUGACGGGGGCCCGCACAAGCGGUGGAGCAUGUGGUUUAAUUCGAUGCAACGCGAAGAACCUUACCUGGUCUUGACAUCCACGGAAGUUUUCAGAGAUGAGAAUGUGCCUUCGGGAACCGUGAGACAGGUGCUGCAUGGCUGUCGUCAGCUCGUGUUGUGAAAUGUUGGUUAAGUCCCGCAACGAGCGCAACCCUUAUCCUUUGUUGCCAGCGGUCCGGCCGGGAACUCAAAGGAGACUGCCAGUGAUAAACUGGAGGAAGGUGGGGAUGACGUCAAGUCAUCAUGGCCUUACGACCAGGGCUACACACCGUGCUACAAUGGCGCAUACAAAGAGAAGCGACCUCGCGAGAGCAAGCGGACCUCAUAAAGUGCGUCGUAGUCCGGAUUGGAGUCUGCAACUCGACUCCAUGAAGUCGGAAUCGCUAGUAAUCGUGGAUCAGAAUGCCACGGUGAAUACGUUCCCCGGGCCUUGUAACACACCGCCCGUCACACCAUGGGAGUGGGUUGCAAAAGAAGUAGGUAGCUUAACCUUCGGGAGGGCGCUUACCACUUUGUGAUUCAUGACUGGGGUGAAGUCGUAACAAGGUAACCGUAGGGGAACCUGCGGUUGGAUCACCU
RNAcentral lists this ribosomal RNA (1532 nucleotides) under Escherichia coli O25b:H4-ST131. RNAcentral's name for it is "bacterial SSU rRNA". It matches the Rfam family "Bacterial small subunit ribosomal RNA". Lineage: Bacteria; Pseudomonadati; Pseudomonadota; Gammaproteobacteria; Enterobacterales; Enterobacteriaceae. The record is from RNAcentral.